AGAGCAUCUCAUCCUCCGGCUGCUGAGUCAUCCUGCUCUGGCAGUUAUUUAAACAGAAGGCUCCAGGAGACAUACAAUCAACACUCCACUCAGACAAUGCCCAGACCUCCAGAAACCAUGUGUCAAGCUCGGAUUGCCUUAGACAGGUGCAAUUUAAGAACAGCUUUCAUCCUCUUUUCUCUCAUAUUGUCACACUAUGUGUUCUGACUUCUGGCUCCUUUCCUCACAAGAAGCUCACCCAGCUGGAACUCUUAUGGGACCUUGGCACCAGAGACCACAAAUUCCUCUUUGAAGUUUUCUAACAGCAACAAUGGUAUUUCUGACUUGGCUUUCUUGUAUUUCUCUCACGUUAACAAAAUUGGUUCAGCAUCUACCAUGGGCUACAUGCUGAGCUACAGAGUUUCGCUCUGUCGCCCAGGCUGGAGUGCAGUGGCGCGCGAUCUCGGUUCACUGCAAGCUCCACCUCCCGGGUUCACGCCAUUCUCCUGCCUCAGCCUCCUGAGUAGCUGGGACUACAGGCGCCCGCCACCACACCCAGGUAAUUUUUUGCAUUUUUAGUAGAGACGGGGUUUCACCGUGUUAGCCAGGAUGGUCUCGUUCUCCUGACCUCAUGAUUCACCCGCCUUGGCCUUCCAAAAUGCUGGGAUUACAGGCGUGAGCCACUGUGCCCUGCCAAAGGCCUUUUCAAAUCUAACGAUGUACUCACAUUUCCACCUGUCUGCCAGCCCUUGUCCAGUUUGACCUGGGCACUCACUGCUGCUCUGGUGGUGAGUACUGCUGAUGGUUCUUUUCCCUGCCCAUCCUUGAGGUGCUCGCUUCAAUAUGUCAAAUGAGGACUCUCAUUACAUUUGGCUGUCAUACAUCAGCCACAACUGUCCUGCCCAGAAGAGCUGGCCUUGGCUUUAAAGCCUACAUCCUGGCUGACCUUCUUUACUGCUUUAUUAAGGAAUCCAACUUGCUGUUUGCUAUCACAUGUGCUAUACAUGCUGUUGAUGAAACUGCUAAAGGGGCUGAAUGUGACUGACGUCUUUGGAAGGAUGAGACUUAGCGUGCCUGUACAGUUGUGUCCAAAUGCUGUCCUCAUCUCCCAAUGAAAAGGGUUUUUCCUUAAGCCUCACAACAAUUUACAGCAUUGCCAGCAGCAUUCAGUACAUUCAGAACAGGAUAAUUUCACCCGCAGCUGAACUAGGGCCAUGCCUGGGACAGACAGAGAAUGGCCUUCCAGCAGACAUGCCAAGAAGCAAGCCAGGGUCAGUGAGUGAAGAGGAGGGCAGGCCCAUUUGAAGCAACACAGUUUAUAUACAUGAAAAGAAAGAAGGAGAGAAGGAAGAAAGGAGGGCGGAAGGAAAGGAAGAAGGGAGAGAAGAAGAGAAGAAAGAAGCAGAGAAAGGAAGAGAAAAGAAAUUACGGCCAGUGCGGUGGCUCACGCCUGUAAUCCUAGCACUUUGGGAGGCCUAAGCGGGCUGAUCACCUGAGGUCAGGAGUUCGUAAGCCAGCCUGGCCAACAUGGUGAAACCCUAUCUCUACUAAAAAUACAAAAAUCAGCAGGGCAUGGUGGUGCGUGCCUGUAAUCCCAGCUACCUGGGAGGCUGAGGUAGGAGAAUCGCUGGAACCCGAGAGGCGGAGGCUGCAGUGAGUUGAGAUCAUGUCACUGCACUCCAGGCUGGGCAACAGAGUGAGACUCUGUCUCAGAAAAAAAAAAAAAGAAAGAAAGAAAGAAAGAAAGUUACCAUUAGUUUUUUGUUGUAUUUGCAAGCAAAGACAAAAGCACCAAGGUACUUGUUUCCUUCUGUAAUUAGAGUUUCAAAUAGACUAAAAGUUUCUGCUCUUAGGUGGGUCUAGAGACUCUCCAGUACCUCAGGACCUCAGGACACAUGGGGUCUCUUGGUUGUUUUCUUUUCAUUGUUGUUGUUUAUUUUAUUUUUGUUUUUAUUUUUUAACUUUAAAACAAUUUUUUGUAGAUGAAUAUGCUUACAUAUGUUUGGGGGUUUUUUUGAGACAGGGUCUUGCUCUGUUGCCCAGGCUGGAGAGCGGUGGUUUAACCACAGCUCACUGCAGCCUCGACCUCCCAAGGUAGGGACUGCAGGUGUGUACACUGGGGUGCACCACCACACCCAGCUAAUUUUUAAAUUUUUUUUUGUAGAUAUUGUCUCACUCUGUUGGCCAGACUGGUCUUGAAAUCCUGGGCUCGAGCAAUUCUCCUGCCUCGGCCUCGUAACGCGUUAGGAUUACAAGCGUGAACACCGCACCUGGCCAGCAUGUGGUCUCUUAACCAGAGGAGGCCUCUUCUGAACUAGGUAGAGGUCCUGAGAAUUGAUUCUGAGAGUAAAAGGCUCUUUGUUCUCCUCAGAGUAGAUUAGAAUCCCUAAUGAUAGAGCAUCUAUUAUUCCUCUAGUGGUCCAUGCCCAACAGAUUCAUCCAAGAAUAGAUGAAGAUCUUUGUAAUGUUGUGCAAGUAAUCUAAUCACCCCACAGAAGAGCUGUGACUUAAAUUAUCCCAGAGUCGGCCCACCUGUUUUCAUAAAGAUCAAUGUAACUUGUAAAUUUCUUCAGUUCUCCUCACCUAUCAUCAUUUGACUAACAAAACCCAGAAAACUAGGCUAGUUAUGGUGGCCUAUGCAUAUAAUCCCAACUCUUUGAGAGGCCAGGGUGGGUGGAUUGCUUGAGUCCAGGAAUUCGAGACCAGCCUGGGCAACAAAGGGAGACCCUGCCUAUAUCCCAGCUAUGCAGGAGGCGAGGCCAGAGGAUUGCCUGAGCCUCAGAGGUUGAGGCUGUAGUGAGCCAUGAUUGCCCCACUACACUCCAGCCUGGAUGACAGAGUGAGACCCUGCCUUAAAAAUAAUAAUAAUAGUAAUAAUAUUUCAUAAAGAUACAGGAAACUAGAUUAUAAUUGACAUUUUCAAAGUGAAAUACUGUCUAGAAUGGUGCUUGGCCAACAGUAAGCUUUUUGUAAGUGGAAGUCAUUACUACUACUAUUUCUUUCAUUAUUAUUACCAUUACUACUUUUUUUUACAAAAAAAAAACCCUGGACAACACACUGAAACCAUUACUACUUCUACUACUAUAACUUAGGUUGCACCUGAUAGAGCCAGCAAUUUUUCCAAGGUAUGACAAUGGCCAUAUGUUUAAUGAUAUAAUUCUAUGGCUCAGUGUAUCUCAGCCUUUUUAAACCCUGCUCUUCUUUUGACAAUUGUAAAAAUCUUAAACUGACCUCCAGUUGAAAUCCUCUGUCAAGAAGAUAUUGUCGGCCAGGGGCGGUGGCUCACACCUGUAAUCCCAGCACUUUUGGAGGCCGAGGUGGGAGGAUCACUUGAGGUUAGGAGUUCAAGACCAGCCUGGCCAACAUAGUGAAACCCCAUCUCUACUAAAAAUACAAAAAUUAGGCAGGCAUGGUGGUGUGUGCCUGUAAUCCCAGCUACUCAGGAGGCUGAGGUAGGAGAAUUGCUUGAACCUGGCAGGGCAGAGGUUGCAGCAAGCCGAGAUCACGCCACUGCUCUCCAGCCUGGGUGAGACUGUCUCAAAAAAAAAAAAAAAAAAGAAAGAAAGUAAGAAAAAGAAGAAAUCCCAAUCUCUUCUUUUAUGUGGAUUCUUCCUCACUUGAAUAAUACUUUUCUUCCCCAGUAUUCUCCAUAUUAUCCCAGAGUCAGCCCCUCUGUUUUUGUAAAGAUCUACGUAACCUCCUCUAAGUUUCCCAGUUCUCCUCACCUAUCAUAUCAUUUGGCUCAACAAAGGGCAGGAAGCUAGAUUCUAAUUGAUAUUUUGAGGCCGGGAGCAGUGGCUCAUGCCUGUAAUCACAGCACUUUGGGAGGCUGAGGCGGGCAGAUCACUGGAGGUCAGGAGUUCGAGACCAGCCUGGCCAAUAUGGUGAAACCUCGUCUCUACUAAAAAUACAAAAAAUUAGCCAGGCUUGGUGGCUUGUACCUGUAAUCCCAGCUACUCAGGAGGCUGAGGCAGGAGAAUAGCUUAAACCUGGGAGGAAGAGGUUGCAGUGAGCCGAGAUUGCUCAAUUGCACCCCAGCCUGGGUGACAGAGCAAAACUCCAUCUCAAAAACAAACAAACGAACAAACCUGAUAUUUUCAAAAUUGAGGCAAUUAUAACAGCUAUUUAGCCAAGCAUUAUGAUAGCAAUAAUAGCAAGAAAAUAAAUUAGUUAACAAAUGAGUCUCAGAAGCCCAAUGAUUUUUAUUUUAUUUUUAUUUUUUGAACUUUUAUUUUAGAAUCAGGGGAUACAUGUGCAGGUUUGUUACCCGGGUAUAUUGCAUGAUGCUGAGUUUUGGAGUAUGCAUGAAUCCAACCUGUCAUCCAGGUAGUGAGUAUAGUACCCAACAGAUAGUUUUUUUAACAUUUACUUCACUCCCUUCCCCAAUCUUGUAUUCCCCUGUGUCUACUGUUCCCAUUUUUAUGACUGUGCCAACAAUAAUUUUUUUUCUUUUUUCUUUAAAUAGAGAUGGGGGUCUCUAUUUAAAGAGCCUCCCAAAGUGCUAGGAUUACAGGUGUGAUCCAUUGCACCUGGCCCAUGCCAACAAUAUUUGAAACCCUUAUCUGCGUGUACAAGUUUGCUACUGGUUUUGUUUUGCUCAUUAAUACAUCCCAAGCAUCUAUACCUGGCUUGUAGUACCAGCAUGUAGUAGGUGCUUAAUAAAUAUUUAUUGAAUAAAUAAAUUAGUUUGACAUUAGUUUAACAUCUCAAGUAAAACAAAAUACCAUUCAAUUAAUUCUCUUCUUCUACUUUUUUCUUUUAAGAGAGACAAAUAGUCACACAUACAUCAGCAGGAGAGGAUACAAUUUCCUGUGUUUAAGUUUUUAUGAGUUACUUUAGUUCAAAUGUCACAGAAAAUUAUAUUGAACUCUUGACCAAUCUAUCUAUUUUUUCCAUUGGAGUAUUGACCCAAAUAAGAAAUAGCAUAAAGGAAAAAUUAUUUUUUGGCAGAAAAAUAUUCUCUCUAAAUUCUUGUGUGUUUUGUUUUGAUUUUUUCCUUAGUGACUGGAGGCCAGUUUCAAUCCACUGAAGCACAGAUUCCAAAUUUUCAAUCUGGUUUUCUUGAGUAGUGACUGAGUGCCAAAAAUGAAGCAAUGACACAACAUCACCAUCAAGACACUCCCCAGCACGCACACACAUGCCAGAGUCCAACACCAAGAUACUCCCCAGCACGCACACACACGCCAGAGUCCAGGCCAUAUUCGGGUGGCUUGCAAGCUUCUUCCCCCCAAGUAUUUACUCUCAAAAUAAUGGUUUUUGUUUUGUUUUGGUUUGGUUUGGUUUGUUUUUUUCCAAAUACAUUUCUUCCCUAUAUCUUUAACCAAUUCUCAUAAAAUUUUGUCUAAUACACUGGUCAGUGUAUUCCAGACCCUAAAAGAUAACAUAAUGAAACUAUCUAUGACUAAAAGGUAAUCAGGAUCUUCUACUUAUCCUUUUUUCCUCCCUCUUAAACUUUAAUUUUGAUACAUUUGGGAGUGAAAUGAUGACAAUAAAUGCAAAGUAAUUAUUGAAGAAACAGUAAUUUUGUAUUAGCUUACUGAAAAAAAAAAAAAAGAUAACCAAAUAUAUUUUGGCAGCCCCAAACGAGUCACAUGUGAAAUGCAGUGGGAGAGCAGUGUCCUGAAGGAAAAGGUGGCCUGCUGGACAGCCAAGAGAACAAACAUCCACUGCAAGUAAUAUGAGCUCUAAGUUUGGACUAGGCCUAUGUCUGCUCUGAGACUUGGGGCAAUUCACUUAAUCAGAGCCUUAAUCAGCUACGGACUAGCAAUAUCCAUACCCGCUACUUAUUUUGUAAAUCUCCUUUCUAAAGUUAACUCUAUUUAUUGUUCCAUAAUCCCAUAAAUUCUAGAAUCUUUUCCUGUUAUAGCCAAGUUGUCUAUCAUUGACAGAGAUAUUCACCUGGUUGUUUUGGCUUCUCUAAUCCUCCUGGUGAGAACACCUCCAAGGGAGCUUUCAGUGGCAUUUAAGGUCACUUGUGCUCUUGGUCCUAGAAACUGCCUUGAUAGUGGUUUUAGCUCACAUGAGGAACAAAACCCAUCAGAAGAUGUCAGAAGAUAAGGAUUUUUGUCCUGAUGCUACACUUACCAGCUGUCCCUCAGUGUUCUACUUCUUAAAAAAAGAGAGAUGGAUAAACAGAGGCAACCCGAGGAUAAAGGCCUUGCUCAGUGUCACACAUUUCAGUCACUAAAUAAGACACAAUGGAUGCCAGUAUUCUCAUCCCCUCACAAAUAAAGAGCCUUCAAGCUCUUGCAGUCAACAAGAACUUUUGGAAUGAUUUCACUGCCUGAAAAGGCAGAUACAUAGGUGACACCCACAAAUAGGAAGAAAAUCAACCUGAACCUGAGUGUGUGGGCUCACUGACUCUAAGCAGUAGAGACAGAAGAAAAAGUUUUAGCAAAGAAGGGUUCUGAAAGAAAAUAAAUAUAGCUCGUUAUCAAGUGCUGUUUUUACACAGUAAAACAUGGGCAAAAUUACUCUUCUUUAAGUAGUAAUUCUUAUCUCUUGAUUAAGUCACCUACUCAUUCAUUUAAUAAAUACAUACUGAUUGUUUUCUAUGUGUUGAGCACUCAUCUCUGUAUUGGAAAUAUAAUAAUGACCAAAGUUGACAAUAGUAAUAACAAUAAUAGCUAAUAUAGCAGGCACUAAUAAUUAUUUGUUGAGUAAUAUGUCAAAAUUCAGUGUGAACAGCAUUCUAUUUGGGGCUGCAUCCACUGACUAUAACACAGCUAAUCUAUCUGAAAUGUUCCAGCUUUGGGCCUCUCUAACAGAAGAAGCUGUUGUUGGGCCUGCCUCUAGUUGGCGAUGCAUCCACCAAUGAGAAUGAAUUUAUGAUCGACCACUCUUCCUGUAAAGGCCGCUGGAACUGACAGCAUUGUGAUUUUCUUUUACUGUUAGUUUUAAAUUACUAGAACCAACUCAAUUACUAGAACGAACUUUACUUCUUUGUUUCCUACUUAUCAAAACAGUAAAAACAACAAGUAAAAGAAAUGCCAUCUUAAUAUUGUUUUGAUGACAAAACAGUAUUCCUUUUAGUUGUGCUUCAAAUGGAAUAAGAUGCAAACAGGCUUGGUAUGGUGGCUCACCCCUGUAAUCCCAGCCCUUUGGGAGGCCAAGGUGGAAGGAUUGCUUGAGGCCAUGAGUUUGAGACCAGCCUGCGCAACAUAGCAAGACCGUGUCUCUACAAAAAAUAAAAAAUUAGCUGAGUGUAGUGGUGUGUGCUUGUGGUCCCAGCUACUUUUGAGGCUGAGGAGGGAGAAUCUCUUGAGCCCAGAAGGUCGAAGUUGCAGUGAGCCGUGAUCGUGCCAUUGCUCUCCAGCUUGGACAACAAAGCAAGACCCUAUGUCAAAAAAUAAAUAAAUAAAAGACAUAAACAUAUCUGAGAUUAACUUUCAGUGGUAAAUUUGUUCCAUAUAUGAUUUUUAAGGUUAAAUGCUUUGGAAGCUUUAAAAACCAUUUCAGCCCUUUUAAAUGCCAACUUACACUGAUGAUGCUCUCAGAUGUUAGGAAAUCUUUUGAGCAGAAAAUGGAAGUGGGGGUGUUGAGGCAGGGAGGAGAGUGAUGCAAUAUUCCUUAGUGUCAUCCUGUGAUUUCACAAUUUGUUUUUCAAUCUGUUUGGACUUUCAAAAGGGAAGACUCUCAUAUGUCAACAAGCCCAUGAACUGAAGCUUAAAACACUGGAAACAACAACUGUAGAGUUUCAAGUAUAUGUACAUUUAUGUAUUCAUGUUCCUUGAUGGGAAUGCUGGCUGGUGUGAAUGUUCAAUCUCCUGAGAAAUGUAAAUUUUUCUCUGACAGAUUUAUUAGCUUGCUGUAUCUGAGCACAUGAGCAAAAACAAUGCCUAAUAAGAAAACUUUCUCUCUCCUUCAAAGUCAAACUUGGGAGAAAUGAAGGGAAAUCGAGUUUUCUUUGCUUGACAGUGUUCAACAUUCUUGUAGUCAGUGUGCUCAUGAAGAUUGCAAACUUUUUUUUUUUUUUAGAGCAGCUAGGACUACAGGCGCGCACCACCACACCCAGCUAAUUUGUGUAUUUUUAGUAGAGAUGGGGUUUUAACUAUGUUGGCCAAGCUUGUCUCAAACUCCUGACCUCAAGUGAUCCAUUCGACAGCUCUUUCUUUUUUUUUUUUUUUUUUGAGACAAAGUCUCGCUCUGUCACCCAGGCUGGAGUGCAGUGGUAUGAUCUCAGCUCACUGCAACCUCCGCCUCCUGGGUUCAAGCAAUUCUCAUGCCUUAGCCUCCCGAAU
Molecule: long non-coding RNA, 8219 nt
Filed under: Homo sapiens (human)
Lineage: Eukaryota; Metazoa; Chordata; Mammalia; Primates; Hominidae
Description: HSALNT0091272
Source: RNAcentral